UAGGGAAUCUUCGGCAAUGGACGGAAGUCUGACCGAGCAACGCCGCGUGAGUGAAGAAGGUUUUCGGAUCGUAAAGCUCUGUUGUAAGAGAAGAACGAGUGUGAGAGUGGAAAGUUCACACUGUGACGGUAUCUUACCAGAAAGGGACGGCUAACUACGUGCCAGCAGCCGCGGUAAUACGUAGGUCCCGAGCGUUGUCCGGAUUUAUUGGGCGUAAAGCGAGCGCAGGCGGUUAGAUAAGUCUGAAGUUAAAGGCUGUGGCUUAACCAUAGUACGCUUUGGAAACUGUUUAACUUGGGUGCAAGAGGGGGGAGUGGAAUUCCAUGUGUAGCGGUGAAAUGCGUAGAUAUAUGGAGGAACACCGGUGGCGAAAGCGGCUCUCUGGCUUGGAACUGACGCUGAGGCUCGAAAGCGUGGGGAGCAAACAGGAUUAGAUACCCUGGUAGUCCACGCUGUAAACGAUGAGUGCUAGGUGUUAGACCCUUUCCGGGGUUUAGUGCCGUAGCUAACGCAUUAAGCACUCCGCCUGGGGAGUACGACCGCAAGGUUG
This 550-nucleotide ribosomal RNA is filed under the name uncultured bacterium. RNAcentral's name for it is "bacterial SSU rRNA". It matches the Rfam family "Bacterial small subunit ribosomal RNA", at positions 355 to 896 of the family's 1533-position model. The record is from RNAcentral.